This 569-nucleotide long non-coding RNA is filed under the name Panax ginseng (ginseng). RNAcentral describes it as "long non-coding RNA (PGIN_LNC017684)". The record is from RNAcentral. Lineage: Eukaryota; Viridiplantae; Streptophyta; Magnoliopsida; Apiales; Araliaceae.
UACUUGACAGUCCUCUUAUUCCCUCGGUCAGGUUGGUAGCAUGACAAUUGCCUUCACUUUCUGAUAUUGUAUCAACGAUUAUCAAAUGCCAACAUUUUCACAAUCUCAAAUAGAUGUUUGUAUAAUCAACUGCUAAAGGUUUAUUCUUUGAAGGGGCGGCGUUCAAAUCCAGAUGGUGUAUCCUUUCAAGGGGUGCAGCGUUCAAAUCCAGAUGGUUCAUCCUUUGAAGGCCGAAGGGGUGGCGUUAAAAUCCAGAGGAGGGUCCUCGCUGCUGAUGUUCUGGUUGUCUAAUUUUGGUUAGCUUUCUUGUUUAUCCUAGUCUUCCUCCUGGGCUGUGUGCAAUUCUGUGAAAUGUAUCUCUUAAGUACAAGCCAACCGCACCCGUAUAUGGCCUUUGGAUUGGAAUGGUCUCAUAAGCAGUUUCUAUCCUUUUCACUGUUUGCUAUGUCUAGUUAUGGAUUCAAGGUAGAGAAAAUUUGUCUUAGCAUGGUAUGAAACACAACUGAGUCUAAGCUAAAUUCGAUGUUUUUAAGAAAUAAUUUCAAAUUCUAAUGAUACGAGGUUUGAAA